GCCGCCCGCGUUUCCGAGUCCAGCCGGCCGGCGCACAGUUCCGGAGCCGAGGGAGGAAGUCCAGUCCCUGCCGCCAGGGUCCCGCUCGGCGCCCCGCGGCGCUCCCCGCCCCUCCUCCGCCCCUCCUGGGGGCCGCUCGGACGGCGCAGUCGUCUCCCCGCCCCCCUCCUCCUGAGAGGAGGAGGGGACCGGGAAAGAGGCGUCGCGUUCUCUCUCACAGCUGCGGGUCGCCCCACCUGGGGCACUUGUCUUUGGGGGAUGGAAUGCUCGCUAGAAAACCUAGGGAUCCAACGGAGCUGCUGAAGGGGCAGCGAUGUCGUAGGCCCCUGAGACGAGGAUGAGACCAUCGCAGUCCUGGGCGCCCCUCGUGGGCACAGAUGUCGGUGUUAGGGCCCCCGCGGGUCUCCUCCGCAGGAGUGACCCGUCACGUUUGUUCUGAACGAAUGAAAAGCUGGGAAGUAUGGAGUAGGUCCUAGUAAAGAAAAGCUAUAGGGAAUGUGGAGGUAGGGUUUAGUGAGUAUUUCCUCAAAGCUCUGGUAGAAAUAGACGCCUGGUGGCUGGCCUUGAACAGGCUGGGGGCCUCCAAGGAGCCCUCAGGGAGGCAGUUACAUCCAACACCCUAACAAAGGAGAGGAAAAGAAAAACCCCCUCAAAAUGUCCCUCGGGUUUGACAAAGGGAUCCCGGACAAAAUGUGACUGUUAAUUACGACAGAACUGAAAAGCAGAAGUAAAGUAAAUCCCCCCAGGACGCCUGGGAACUGGGUGAACCCUCUUCCCUGGAAGCCAAGGAACCAACUGUUUGCAGAGGAUCAGAAGGGAUCAGCUCAGAAGCCCGGACCUGGCCUGGCACAUAGAAGCCACCGAAGGGGUCCUGUGCCAAGGACAAACAGGAACGCCCACCCAGUGGGCGGGCCGUCCGUGGUCCAGAACUGGCAGGCCACUGACAAAUAUCCUCUGAGUAAAACUAAGGAAGGACGUCAGCUAUCAUCAGGGGGACUUGUGUGCCCCAGAGCCUACAGGGUGCUCAGGGACUGCAAGAAGAUCUUCCUUCCAGAAACAUUCAGUGGCACCUCCCCUUCUCCGACACUCUGCCGGGCCAUGGAAUUGCAGAGAAGAACGGGAGGGGGCCCUUGCCCUGAAGAACUCACAGAGUGUUCCACGUGGAAAAUGGAGUGAAGCUGCUGUCAACAACCUAGACAGGAGCAGGCCGGUGUCUCAGGAGGCAGAACAAAGGAGAAGGCACAGCUGGACUUAAGACUCCCUGUCCAGUUCAGGCCGGUUGAGACCACCAACCCAUCAAGUGGGCCUGCGCAGGUGUCCAGUAAGUGACCUUUUCAUGUCAAGAAGCUAAAAACUCCAGCCUCAGAUCACAUGCUAAUGCCACCAUUUUCUGAACAUGCCUCCUAUGAAGAGACAUGAAAUCUGACUAGGCUUGCACAAAUCCUCAGUUACCUCACCUCUCCUCACCUCCAAUCAUCUAUCUCCAUACUUCAGACCACCUUGCUCCUCUACCCCAUAAAUAUCCCUGAACCCCCACUUUUGGGGAACUUGAGGCUCAUUCUCUCGCUUCCUCACUUG
Molecule: long non-coding RNA, 1578 nt
Organism: Equus asinus (donkey)
Lineage: Eukaryota; Metazoa; Chordata; Mammalia; Perissodactyla; Equidae
Source: Ensembl